GCAUGGUUCUGAAAAAAAACCGUGAGUUCCCAUACACACAAAGAGAUCGUACCCUUGCAUGGUGCUACCGCAAGCUUUCCACCUUAGUUUUCUGUCACCAUGAAUAGCUUGAAAUCCCAGUUUCCCAAUUUAGCUAUAUUAGUUUCCUGUUCAGUUAAUCAGUUCUGCACUCGUAUUCACGAUCUUCUUGGACUUUGCUUAUUUGAUUUGAAUGUAUUUACACGUCGCCACCCUGCGUAAACUAUAUGACAACAACAAAAGCAGUUUUUGGACAAAAGUCGACAACUGAGUUGGUGAGUCGAAACUUUCAUCAUGUUCCAGGGCCUUCAAAUAUGACAGAUGGUUUGGGAGCAGGAGCCAUAGCGGGUAUAGUUCUUGGUGCAUUAACAGCAACUGGAGUCGUCUCCAUUUUAGGUUUUGUGUACUAUAUAAAGAAAAUAAAGCCUUUGCAUUCUCCAAAAUUGAGCACAGAGGAUACGGGAAGUAAACAUAAAAAAUCAUUUGAUGGCAUCAAAGACAAAAGCGAGGCAGGAGGCUCUCCUGAAUUAGAUGAAGUAGAAAUGCAAGACCAACGAAAAGAAUCACUUGACGGCAGGAACAGUGAGGACUGUGUGUCGGGGCAUUCCUCUGACUUGCCUGAAAUAGAGAUAGAAUUAGAAGGCCAAGAAAAGGAAUCUUCUGAAAGCAGCAGUGAGGAAAGCAAGUCGGAGCAAUCUUAUGACUUCGAUGCAAUAGACAUGGAAGGCCACGGAAAAGAAUCAUCUGAAAGCGGCAGUGAGGAAAAUCAGAUGGGUUUUUCUGGAUCGAAUGGUACAGACACGCAAGACCACCUUAACAAAUCUUUUCAAGGCAGCAGUGAGGAAAGUGAGGUAUUCAUCUAACUGUGAUCAAGAAAACAAAAACCGCCCACCAGUCUUCAUGUUCAUUCGCUGAUUUACUUUAAGAUUGGCCUCUCUAAUACGUCAGUAUCUGACACAACCGUGACCUAAAUUCCAGCGGGAGCUCUCUGUAUCUCUGUAACAGGAACGCAGCCCAACAUCAUGGAGUGUACACUUAUACUGGAAUAAAAAGCAACAUAAGCUCAAAGA
Molecule: unclassified non-coding RNA, 1088 nt
Filed under: Acanthaster planci (crown-of-thorns starfish)
Lineage: Eukaryota; Metazoa; Echinodermata; Asteroidea; Valvatida; Acanthasteridae
Description: protein gar2-like, transcript variant X1
Source: RNAcentral